CACAGAGACAUAGACACACACACACACCUACACAGACACACAGAGAUAGACACACACAGAGACUUCGAUACACACACACAGACACAGAGACAUAGACACACACAUGCACGCACAGACAGUGUUUUCCCCUCCUGUUCUUUGGCAGAAGGCCUCGUCCUUCCCACUGUGCUUUCCUGACCCUCUAGUCUGCAGGCCCAUCUGCGGCAGUUUCUAGAGACAGCCCCGUGGUCACUUUUGUCCAUGUGGGACCCCACUGUGUGGCUGGAUCACCAUGCAGUCAGGCCCUGCAGUUUCUAGUCUCGCUUCUACAGACGGCGCUGCAAUGAACAGCUGUUUCUGAUGAGGCCCUUAUUUAGGGCCAAUCCUGGCCUCAUCGCGUCCAGUGGAACAAAUUAUUGUCCACGACCCAGGGACAGUGUCCUCCCUUGGGGCCUCCGACUCAGUGGCCCAGAGCUGAUCGGUCUGGAAUCCCCUCCUGUUUUCCUGACGUGUCCCAUCCCGGACACUGCUCAUUCACGCCUCCCAGCAGCUCCCAGGCCUCCCCUGGCUUGGCGCAAACGCGGAAUUCCGCCGAGCUGAGAAGAGAAAGCCGCCUCCAGGGAGCCCUCGAGAUGCACUGCCGUCUCCCAGGGAAGCGUUUCCUGCAGAUGCUGGAGCCUGCAGGACGCGGAGAUCAGGGCCGGUGGGCAGGACCGUGGACAGCGGCGCCCGGGGCCCUGCGCUGCGCCAGGAGUCGGGUCAGCAGGUGGCGCCCAUCCCCGCAGCGGGCAGCGCCGACCUCGGGCGCGUCAUUCAUUUAUGUCACAGGCGGGCGGCUGGAUGACUGAGCCAGGUGUGGGAGAGGUGGUCUGACCUCGCGGAGCAUGAUCUGACUCGAGUGGAGGGAUAGAGCAGCGUGGUUGGGACGGACAGACAGACAGACACAGGCGAUCACCCUCAGCAGGAUCCCUGCACGUCAGACGCCGAGGUCGCUGGCGCCGCUCGGUGGUGUCAGCGCCGUCUGCGUGCAGCUCCUUGUGGACGGGCUCGCGUCUGCCGCGGGUGACCCCUCCCCCCGGCAGAGGGAGAGACGGAGCCGCGAGCAGGCCGGCGCCCCACUUGCCCCAGGGCGCCCGCCGGGGUCCCCUUGACCCGCCUGAGCGAGAGCCUGUCGGCCCAGCGGCGUCCUCCCUGGUCGUCCCUCGGCCGUGACGAGCCGUCGUCACAGGUUGACCAUGAGGCCGGCCGGUCCACCAGGUGCCCCUGUGGCCCUGCCACGUGCAGCAGGACGAGUGACCACGGGUGCAGCCCCGUGUGCGAGUGAGACGGGUGCAGCCUCAGGCCACUGUGCCACCUUCAAGCAGGGUGCCCUGAGCCAUGGCCACCACUCUGCUUUCAGGGCCAAGCGCCCAGGGGCCGCCCGGAGCGUUGUCUGCCUCUCAAGCAGCCCCUGGCCUCUGGGUGGAAGGGCAGGGCUGCCGGGGAGCAGACACAGGCCCGCAGGUGGGUCCUGGAGCAAGGCCCAGGCCGGGAGGACCCCACACAGGUCCCCCCAGCCCACUGCGCACAGGCCACUUCCCCUGCUGCCCAGGGCAGGGGACGCAGCCCCUGGCACAGUCCUGGGCAGGAUGUUCCAGAGCCAAGUGUCCUUCAGCUCUUCUCUUUCUACGCCCUUUUCUUACCCUUUCAGUGCUCAAAGAUUAACCUUAAAACUCAGUACGUUUAAAAGCUUGCUGUUCUCCAUCUAGACGCACCUCCUCAUCUGGAACCUUCCACAUCCUCAAGCCAACAGGAGAGCUCAUUGUCUAGAAGAUGGAAACUCGCCCUGACUCAGGUCCACUCCGUCUCUCCUGUGGACACUUUACUAAAGUGUGCUUACAGCCUUCCACCUCCUUGAAGGGGCUUCCCAAGUGGCUAAGGGGGCCAAGCAUCUGCCUGCAAUGCAGGAGGCACAGGAGACUCGGACUGGAUCCCUGAGAGGGCAGGAUCCCCUGGAGGAGGGCGUGGCGACCCACUGCAGUAUUCUUGCCUGGAGAACCUCGCGGACAGAAGAACCCGGUGGGCCGCAGGCCAUGGAGUGGCAGAGAGUCGGACACGACUGAAGUGACCGAGCACACACGCCUUCUUCAAAGAACAACACCGACUUUCUUGUUUCUGAUUAUAAUGGCCCAUUGGGGUUCAUUGUAGAAGCUUAUGGAAACAAAAAAGAGCAAAAGAAGGAAAUAAAAACCGUUCCAAA
This is a long non-coding RNA of Bubalus bubalis (water buffalo), 2218 nucleotides long. RefSeq lists it as uncharacterized. NCBI's taxonomy places the organism in Eukaryota, Metazoa, Chordata, Mammalia, Artiodactyla, Bovidae. The record is from RefSeq and is a predicted model, not a curated record. The transcript is spliced from 2 exons.